CCACUGCGGGACCUUGAUAAAAAAAAUGCCAAAAAUGAUGAUUCGUGAUGCCGAUCGGUGGAAACUGGUGGCUCAGAGUCCUAGCUAUUGUCAAACUACGCAUUCAGAGCUCAGAUGGUGUUAUCAUUUACAGCCUAAUCUCCCCAGAAGCUUACUCAACCUGAGAUAAGGAAACGGGGCAAAACAAGCUCUACUAUCUACACAGCAACGUCUGGUUAAGUGUCACUAUUGCAGCGGAAGCAGGACAAGAGGACUUAGUUUGGAGCAUGAAGAAGAAACUAAAAGUAGGUGCAACAAUUGGGGUCAAGUUAAGCUCUCUUCCAUCGUUACACGACAAAAGAAGCUUAAAAGAAAGGAGCCUCACAGACAGAACAUCAGACGUCAGACGCAUCGAGAGAUUUAAAGGGAAUAAUUCCCAAGUUUCACCAUCCGCCCAAUCAUCAUUUAUCAGCGAUGUCAGUCCAUGGGAGGAAUUCCCCAAAGAUGGAUUAUUCAACAAGAAUGACAAAUUCAAUCUCCCAGUGUUUGAUAAUUCCAGGAUAGGAAGAUGAGUUAGUCACAAGCUAUUCGUGCAAGGCGCUAAGAUACGAGGAAGUGUGAGAGCCAAUUGCAUAGUGGCUCCUCUUGAAUAAUGGAUUACUGUGCAUUUAAGAAGCAUGAGGCGUUGAGGCAGGAAAUCUUGACGAAAUGGCUUAACUAUCUGUACUGCGUGUACACCGGGUUCCAGGACUGUUCUGCCAAGGACCUAUGAAAACCCCCACACCACGAAUCCACGACAUUAUUAAUGUCCUCACCACAGUUACAGCCUGCAACGCCAGUGGGAUAUCCUCCAAUAACGUUUGAAUGACACUGGGGGGGGCCGAAAAUCUGCAUAGGGCGGAAGCUAAAUGGAGAAACCUCCAUAUCCAAUUCCAAUUGCGAUAUCAGCGGGGUUGAGCACAAACCCUUUUUCAAUGCUGAUUCUCCUCCUUUGUUGGCACGCCCUUUACGUGAUCCGGUUUUUGUAUACGGGCUAGGUCGACGUCUUUGGCUUUGGCGAAUUGAUCAGAUGCCGUGUGAUAACACAUGUUCAAUGAUGCAUCCUGUGUACAUGUCGUCAGUUUCCAUGGCGUCGUUCACGAGUUGUGAUUAAUAAUAAUAGGGGGCGGAAUGAUGGGGUCAUUGAUGGCCGUGUGGACUAUCGAUUGAGGUUCUGCAGGUUGAAGAUACGAGACGCUUAGACUAAAAGGGAAGAGGAAAGGGGGCUCCGAUUGACAUGGAUGUCACAGCUAUUUGCUAUCUACGAUUGUUAUCUGUGCCGUCAUAGGAUAAUAUCUCCGCUACAAUAAAAACGGUGGAAACCAGCCCGUGGGUAGCCCCCUUCUUUCGUCAUACCCUGGCGGGGUAGAUCCAGUGUUCCUGAGAUCAGUGAGAGCCUAUCAAUCGAGACUUUGGCUAGCAUAUAUAUGAUAUGAUGAUCAAAUGAUAGUAAUUAUUAGUAAUUAUUUCAUGAGCGUUAUCAAAAAGCAAAACAGAAAAAUU
RNAcentral lists this small RNA (1521 nucleotides) under Histoplasma capsulatum var. duboisii H88. RNAcentral describes it as "Histoplasma capsulatum H88 hypothetical RNA". The record is from RNAcentral. Lineage: Eukaryota; Fungi; Ascomycota; Eurotiomycetes; Onygenales; Ajellomycetaceae.